UGGUGCUGGCUGGAUCUUUCCUGGAGCUCCCAAUGUCUGGACUUAAAAGAUGCCUAUGUCCAAGAUUCAUGCCAAACCAGCUGAAUGAGAAGCAUACUUAAAAAAGAAAUAACACCUCAAUUCAGGUCAAUAAAGGAUGUGAUGGUUUCAGAAAUAACAUUGAUCUCGUUACAGUCCUGGGUGCAUCCCAGUGAGUUGCAGCAGUGAAUGAGACAGUGCCCUUGAGUCCUCCCGCUAUUUCUGCUGGAGGGGAGAUGAGCUGAUGGAUUCUGCCUGUCCUUUGAAACCAGAGCCAGAGAGGUGGAAAAGGGGGGAAAAGAGUGGGAAGCAGAGACACAAAGACUUGAUGGGUUGAUAGAAAAGGAGAAUAGUACUCCCUUGUCUAAUAUCUGCUCUUUAUUCUGCAUCACAAUAAGUUGGGACUUUCCGACUGGACACAGUGGUGUUGAAAUCAAGGCUGAAAUUAGUUUUCAGCCAUUCAUUCAUAACUGUUAUGUUUAAAAAAGAAAAAAAAAGGGGGGAAGAGAAGGUGGGGAAACAAAAGUAAAUACAAAAAGAGAAAUGUUAACAUGUGUGGCUCAGAAUGCAUACAGCAGACAAAGCUCUGCUUGUUCUUUGACAAUGGCUCUGAAAAACAGGUGUCAUAGUAGCUGUACAAGGUUAAAGCACAGGGACCAUUAUGUACAAAAUGAGUGAGUCUUUAUCCAGAGUCUGCUUCAGCUCUUAAGGAUGUGCUUGCUAUUGUGCCAGUGUUUGCUGGAAGGACUCCAUCUAUACAAUGGAGAAAUUUUUCAUUCUCACCUUCCCCCAACCUCCAUUCCACCAUCCAAAUCUACAGUUAUGGAUAUAAUACAGACCUCUGGCAUUCAAGGUCCUCAUUGCCCUAUACUUUUGAAACAAAAGCUAUUGUGCUGCACCAUGAAAGCCUGCCUGAGGCAGAAUAAAGCUGUUCAGCAGCGGACCCUGAGAGAAUAUUUGUGAGGCACUCUCUAAAGUUAAA
Pezoporus occidentalis (night parrot) is the source of this 1000-nucleotide long non-coding RNA. RefSeq lists it as uncharacterized. NCBI's taxonomy places the organism in Eukaryota, Metazoa, Chordata, Aves, Psittaciformes, Psittacidae. The record is from RefSeq and is a predicted model, not a curated record. The transcript has 3 exons.